UGUAGCGAGGUUAACCGAAUAGGGUAGCCGUAGGGAAACCGAGUCUUAACUGGGCGACUAGUUGCAAGGUAUAGACCCGAAACCCGGUGAUCUAGCCAUGGGCAGGUUGAAGGUUGAGUAACAUCAACUGGAGGACCGAACCCACUAACGUUGAAAAGUUAGGGGAUGACCUGUGGCUAGGAGUGAAAGGCUAAUCAAACCGGGAGAUAGCUGGUUCUCCCCGAAAUCUAUUUAGGUAGAGCCUCGGACGAAUACUUACGGGGGUAGAGCACUGUUAAGGCUAGGGGGUCAUCCCGACUUACCAACCCUUUGCAAACUCCGAAUACCGUAAAGUAAUAUCCGGGAGACACACGGCGGGUGCUAACGUCCGUCGUGAAGAGGGAAACAACCCAGACCGCCAGCUAAGGUCCCAAAGUCAUAGUUAAGUGGGAAACGAUGUGGAAAGGCCCAGACAGCCAGGAGGUUGGCUUAGAAGCAGCCAUCCUUUAAAGAAAGCGUAAUAGCUCACUGGUCGNGCGUAAUAGCUCACUGGUCGAGUCGGUCUGCGCGGAAGAUGUAACGGGGCUAAACUAUGCACCGAAGCUGCGGAUUCAGAAUUUAUUCUGAGUGGUAGGGGAGCGUUCUGUAAGCCGUUGAAGGUGUACCGGGAGGUAUGCUGGAGGUAUCAGAAGUGCGAAUGCUGACAUGAGUAACGAUAAUGGGAGUGAAAAACUCCCACGCCGGAAGACCAAGGGUUCCUAUCCCAUGUUAAUCAGGGUAGGGUAAGUCGACCCCUAAGGCGAGGCCGAAAGGCGUAGUCGAUGGGAAACAGAUUAAUAUUUCUGUACUCGAUAUAAUUGCGAUGGGGGGACGGAGCAGGCUAAGCAAGCAUAGCGUUGGUAGUCUAUGUGAAAGUGAGUAGGGCGUUUGUUUAGGUAAAUCCGGACAAACAUUAAACCUGAGACACGAGACGAGUCACUACGGUGAUGAAGUUGCUGAUGCCAUACUUCCAGGAAAAGCCUCUAAGCUUCAGAUUAUAUGGAAUCGUACCCCAAACCGACACAGGUGGUCAGGUAGAGAAUACUAAGGCGCUUGAGAGAACUCGGGUGAAGGAACUAGGCAAAAUCGUACCGUAACUUCGGGAGAAGGUACGCUCCUAUCUGUGAUGAGACUUGCUCUCUAAGCGGACGGGAGCCGCAGUGACCAGGUGGCUGGGACUGUUUAUUAAAAACACAGCACUGUGCAAAAUCGCAAGAUGACGUAUACGGUGUGACACCUGCCCGGUGCCGGAAGGUUAAUUGAUGGGGUUAUCUUCGGAGAAGCUCUUGAUCGAAGCCCCGGUAAACGGCGGCCGUAACUAUAACGGUCCUAAGGUAGCGAAAUUCCUUGUCGGGUAAGUUCCGACCUGCACGAAUGGUGUAACCAUGGCCACGCUGUCUCCACCCGAGACUCAGUGAAAUUGAAAUCGCAGUGAAGAUGCUGUGUACCCGCGGCUAGACGGAAAGACCCCGUGAACCUUUACUACAGCUUGGCACUGAACAUUGAACCUACAUGUGUAGGAUAGGUGGGAGACUUUGAAGCAGCGACGCUAGUUGUUGUGGAGUCAACCUUGAAAUACCACCCUUGUAGUUUUGAUGUUCUAACGUUGGCCCCUGAAUCGGGGUUACGGACAGUGCCUGGUGGGUAGUUUGACUGGGGCGGUCUCCUCCUAAAGAGUAACGGAGGAGCACGAAGGUUGGCUAAGUACGGUCGGACAUCGUACGGUUAGUGUAAUGGUAGAAGCCAGCUUAACUGCGAGACAGACACGUCGAGCAGGUACGAAAGUAGGUCAUAGUGAUCCGGUGGUUCUGAAUGGAAGGGCCAUCGCUCAACGGAUAAAAGGUACUCCGGGGAUAACAGGCUGAUACCGCCCAAGAGUUCAUAUCGACGGCGGUGUUUGGCACCUCGAUGUCGGCUCAUCACAUCCUGGGGCUGAAGUCGGUCCCAAGGGUAUGGCUGUUCGCCAUUUAAAGUGGUACGCGAGCUGGGUUUAGAACGUCGUGAGACAGUUCGGUCCCUAUCUGCCGUGGGCGUUUGAGAAUUGAGAGGGGUUGCUCCUAGUACGAGAGGACCGGAGUGAACGAACCGCUGGUGUUCGGGUUGUCAUGCCAAUGGCAUUGCCCGGUAGCUACGUUCGGAACUGAUAAGCGCUGAAAGCAUCUAAGCGCGAAGCAGGCCUCGAGAUGAGUUCUCACUAGACUUUUAAAGUCUCUGAAGGGCCGUUGAAGACUACAACGUUGAUAGGCAAGAUGUGGAAGUGGUGUGAGCCAUUAAGCUAACUUGUACUAAUUAC
This 2311-nucleotide ribosomal RNA is filed under the name Psychrobacter sp. SZ93C1. Its description in RNAcentral is "partial 23S ribosomal RNA". It matches the Rfam family "Bacterial large subunit ribosomal RNA", at positions 636 to 2908 of the family's 2925-position model. Lineage: Bacteria; Pseudomonadati; Pseudomonadota; Gammaproteobacteria; Moraxellales; Moraxellaceae. The record is from RNAcentral.